RNAcentral lists this ribosomal RNA (406 nucleotides) under uncultured bacterium. RNAcentral describes it as "partial 16S ribosomal RNA". It matches the Rfam family "Bacterial small subunit ribosomal RNA", at positions 30 to 526 of the family's 1533-position model. The record is from RNAcentral.
AUUGAACGCUGGCGGCAGGCCUAACACAUGCAAGUCGAACGAGUGGCGGACGGGUGAGUAAUGUCUGGGAAACUGCCCGAUGGAGGGGGAUAACUACUGGAAACGGUUGCUAAUACCGCAUACCAUCGGAUGUGCCCAGAUGGGAUUAGCUAGUAGGUGGGGUAACGGCUCACCUAGGCGACGACCCCUAGCUGGUCUGAGAGGAUGACCAGCCACACUGGAACGGAGACACGGUCCAGACUCCGACGGGAGGCAGCAGUGGGGAAUAUUGGACAAUGGGCGCAAGCCUGAUGCAGCCAUGCCGCGUGUGUGAAGAAGGCCUUCGGUUUGUAAAGUACUUUCAGCGAGGAGGCGUUACUCGCAGAAGAAGCACCGGCUAACUCCGUGCCAGCAGCCGCGGUAAUUC